AUGGCAGCAGAGAUUCUCUCUUCCAGAGGUUGAUUAUCAUUGCGAGCAUUCACAGCUCUCCUGGGUGCCAUGUUCUGGCAGAACAUAACACUACAGGGUUAAACAUUUGCUUGAUAUCGUCACCCUAGACAUUAGUAGCAUAUAUAUUCACAGGUAUAUAUACCACAUAAGUGACAUCAAACAAUUAUUACUCCAACAGAGUACAUAGUAGGCUUGCACUAAGGGAAUCUAUACGUGACAAGACUUGCUGUGAUUUCUGUGCACUGAAUUCCAUAAUUAUGUAUGCAUCCAUAAUUACGUAACUCCUUGCACAGUCUGCACAGUUCGUUUCAUCCUCGUGUUUCCUCCUUCAGUUAAGUCAUUGUUUUCAGGCAAAGUCAUGUAUACUAGUGGUAUUCUACAUCUAGUACAUGUAUAU
This 418-nucleotide long non-coding RNA is filed under the name Helianthus annuus (common sunflower). Its description in RNAcentral is "sRNA HanXRQr2_Chr12g0542551". Lineage: Eukaryota; Viridiplantae; Streptophyta; Magnoliopsida; Asterales; Asteraceae. The record is from RNAcentral.